CUCCACAACAUUUUGAAAUUAUAUAUGUAAUGAUUGAAAUAAUUAACAAAUUAACAAUACAAUCAUUCCAAUUGCAACAGAAAUUGACUCUAAAUAAUAAAAAUUAGCAGGAAAAAUUAAAACCUAAGUUUUAGGAGAAAUUAACAAGGGAGGAAAUUAAAACCUUCAAUUGGACAAUAAUGAAAAAAUUAAAGGAGAAG
Molecule: long non-coding RNA, 200 nt
Filed under: Panax ginseng (ginseng)
Lineage: Eukaryota; Viridiplantae; Streptophyta; Magnoliopsida; Apiales; Araliaceae
Description: long non-coding RNA (PGIN_LNC001624)
Source: RNAcentral